GGGUUUAGAGUUAAGGGGUGGGGUUUUGCGGAUAUGAUUUCAAAUUUUAAAAACUAAAAAAAUAUUAAAAUUUUCAAAAUAAAAAAGUCUAUUUUGGUCAUUUUGUUUUUUGAGGUCUAUUUUUGUGACAUAAACUUUUUUAAAAAGUCUAUUUGAGAGAAUUACCAUUUUUUUUUAGAGAAUUGCCAUUUUAUUAAUGUAAAAUCAAUAAAAUUUUAUAAUUCCUUUAAUAAUUGUGAAAUAGAGGGAAUAUUGUUCAAAUUGUAUGAAAAUUCUUACAAGACAUUAAACAAUUAAAUAAUUAUAAAUAAAAUACUUUUGUCAGCAUCAGAAGUUUUUAUCUUUGUCAUGUUUCCUCAUUCUAACUUUGGAAAUUGUCAUUUUGACCUCUUCUUAUAAGAAAUAUAAAAACAUAUACAAAACUAUAGACUACAAUUUUUGGCAAUAAGAAAUAACACAUGGUAGACUUGUCUUAUAUCCAUCAAUAGAAUAAAAUGAAACUUUCUAUAUAAAUCUUUAUCAAUGUAUCAUGUUAUUUAUCUAC
Molecule: long non-coding RNA, 544 nt
Filed under: Brassica napus (rape)
Lineage: Eukaryota; Viridiplantae; Streptophyta; Magnoliopsida; Brassicales; Brassicaceae
Description: long non-coding RNA (BNAP_LNC008413)
Source: RNAcentral